GAAUACCUCGGUAACACCGAAGAACCCAAGAAGGAAGAAUGACAGAUUCAAAACAAAAAGUCAAAAUUCUUUUUUAAAAAAAUUGCAUUCUAAAGGAAAUCACGUAUGUAUCAGAGGGGUCAACAAAAUGGCUCAGUGGGCGAAGUCACUUGCUGCCAAGUCUGAUGACCUGAAUUUGAUACCUCAGACCCACACGGUGGAAGAUAACUGACUCCAGCAAAUGUCCCAUGAGUUCCACACACACACACAAUUGUGGCUUGUGUUCACACCCACACGGGAUACAAUGUAUCGAAAAGUAUGUGCAUUUGCACAAAUGUGGGGUGUGUGUGUGUGUGUGUGUGUGUGUGUGUAAGAGUGCAGUGUUAGACUCCAGCUGCAGCUCAGUCACAGAACCUUGCAGUAGCCCCUCCUCUCUCCCAGACACUGACAGGUGCCCUGCUGUGACUGCCUCUGUGAGGCUCCUGCUAACAGACUUGCAGGAGCCUGGAUCUCCCAUCUGCCAGGAGCAACUAUUCCCAAGUCUUCCUGAUGACUCACAGUGUCCCUAUGAGUGGCCGCCUGGACUGCAGGCGGUACAUCUUAUUUAAUUAGAUAAUGAUUAGGU
Molecule: long non-coding RNA, 604 nt
Filed under: Rattus norvegicus (Norway rat)
Lineage: Eukaryota; Metazoa; Chordata; Mammalia; Rodentia; Muridae
Description: long non-coding RNA NONRATT031802
Source: RNAcentral